GUUUGAUCCUGGCUCAGAACGAACGCUGGCGGCAGGCCUAACACAUGCAAGUCGAGCGCCCCGCAAGGGGAGCGGCGGACGGGUGAGUAACACGUGGGAAUUUUCCUCAAGGUACGGAACAACUCAGGGAAACUUGGGCUAAUACCGUAUGAUGCAGAGAUGCCAAAGAUUUAUCGCCUUGGGAUAAGCCCGCGUCAGAUUAGGUAGUUGGUGGGGUAAUGGCCUACCAAGCCUGUGAUCUGUAGCUGGUCUGAGAGGACGAUCAGCCACAUUGGGACUGAGACACGGCCCAAACUCCUACGGGAGGCAGCAGUGGGGAAUCUUGCGCAAUGGACGAAAGUCUGACGCAGCCAUGCCGCGUGAAUGAUGAAGGUCUUAGGAUUGUAAAGUUCUUUAGCCUGUGACGAUGAUGACGGUAACAGGAGAAUAAGCCCGGCUAACUUCGUG
This 447-nucleotide ribosomal RNA is filed under the name uncultured bacterium. RNAcentral describes it as "bacterial SSU rRNA". It matches the Rfam family "Bacterial small subunit ribosomal RNA", at positions 11 to 507 of the family's 1533-position model. The record is from RNAcentral.